Molecule: non-coding RNA, 300 nt
Organism: Vicia faba (fava bean)
Lineage: Eukaryota; Viridiplantae; Streptophyta; Magnoliopsida; Fabales; Fabaceae
Source: the annotation of a GenBank genome assembly
AUGUGGCCCAUUAGCAAUUUUGAGGUAUUUGAAGCAAAGUUGACUUUUCAAAAUUCCCAAAAAUUUCCCAACUUCCACAAGGCAUAUCUUGCUCAAUUUUUAAGCUUUGAUCAUGUUCUUGGACAUUUUGGAAAGGUCUUGAAGUCCUAUAACCAAUGCCUUUGGUCCCAUGUCAUUUUGAUUUACCAAUCUCAAGUUAUGCCUACUCAAAAUGUCAAACCGGAGUUGAUGACAAAAUUAAUCCGUUUCAAGAGAGCGUCGAGCCAGGCCGAAGUUAUUUAUCGUGGAAAAGAUUCUUGA